GUUAACAAUCCGCUGUGCCCCAUCUACUUGACCACGUUCAGAGAAAGCUCGCAGCAGCUCCAUGUAUAACUCCUUCGUGGGUUUGAUGUCAUUCGAGUCCAUGUCUCGUAAGAUCAUCUCUCCUUGUUUCGGAAGCCCUGCCUUCACGUAAGCUGUGAUCAUCGAGCUGUAAGUAUUUAGAUCUGGUUUGAACCCGUGCUUCUUCAGAUUUUCGAAUUCG
Molecule: unclassified non-coding RNA, 220 nt
Filed under: Hevea brasiliensis (rubber tree)
Lineage: Eukaryota; Viridiplantae; Streptophyta; Magnoliopsida; Malpighiales; Euphorbiaceae
Source: RNAcentral